This 453-nucleotide ribosomal RNA is filed under the name uncultured bacterium. Its description in RNAcentral is "bacterial SSU rRNA". It matches the Rfam family "Bacterial small subunit ribosomal RNA", at positions 59 to 507 of the family's 1533-position model. The record is from RNAcentral.
AAGUACGAACGCGAAAGUCCUUCGGGGCGAGUAGAGUGGCGGACGGGUGAGUAACGCGUGGGAAUCUACCCUAGAGCGGGGGACAACCCGGGGAAGCUCGGGCUAAUACCGCAUACGUCCUACGGGAGAAAGAGGGCCUCUGCUUGCACGCUCUCACUCCAGGAUGAGCCCACGUCCGAUUAGCUAGUUGGUAGGGUAAAGGCCUACCAAGGCCACGAUCGGUAGCUGGUCUGAGAGGAUGAUCAGCCACACUGGGACUGAGACACGGCCCAGACUCCUACGGGAGGCAGCAGUGGGGAAUAUUGGACAAUGGGCGCAAGCCUGAUCCAGCAAUGCCGCGUGUGUGAAGAAGGCCUGCGGGUUGUAAAGCACUUUCAGUGGGGAAGAACAGAUUCGGGUCAAUACCCCGGAGCCCUGACGUUACCCACAGAAGAAGCACCGGCUAACUCCGUG